RNAcentral lists this ribosomal RNA (301 nucleotides) under uncultured bacterium. Its description in RNAcentral is "partial 16S ribosomal RNA". It matches the Rfam family "Bacterial small subunit ribosomal RNA", at positions 509 to 807 of the family's 1533-position model. The record is from RNAcentral.
CAGCCGCCGCGGUAAUACGAAGGGGGCUAGCGUUGUUCGGAAUUACUGGGCGUAAAGCGCACGUAGGCGGAUAUUUAAGUCAGGGGUGAAAUCCCGCAGCUCAACUGCGGAACUGCCUUUGAUACUGGGUAUCUUGAGUAUGGAAGAGGUUAGUGGAAUUGCGAGUGUAGAGGUGAAAUUUGUAGAUAUUCGCAGGAACACCAGUGGCGAAGGCGGCUAACUGGUCCAUAACUGACGCUGAGGUGCGAAAGCGUGGGGAGCAAACAGGAUUAGAUACCCCAGUAGUCCCUGUCUCUUAUAC